Molecule: ribosomal RNA, 418 nt
Filed under: Lepidium heterophyllum
Lineage: Eukaryota; Viridiplantae; Streptophyta; Magnoliopsida; Brassicales; Brassicaceae
Description: eukaryotic LSU rRNA
Rfam family: Eukaryotic large subunit ribosomal RNA (bases 278-418)
Source: RNAcentral
UGCAGAAUCCCGUGAACCAUCGAGUCUUUGAACGCAAGUUGCGCCCCAAGCCUUCUGGCCGAGGGCACGUCUGCCUGGGCGUCACAAAUCGUCGUCCCCCUCAAUUCUUUUGCGGGUAUUGGACGGAAGCUGGUCUCCCGUGUGUUACCGCACGCGGUUGGCCAAAAUAUGAGCUAAGGAUGCGUGGAGCGUCCCGACAUGCGGUGGUGAACUCAAGCCUCUUCAUAUAGUCGGUCGCUCCAAUCCGUAAGCUCUCGAUGACCCAAUGUCCUCAAAGCGACCCCAGGUCAGGCGGGAUCACCCGCUGAGUUUAAGCAUAUCAAUAAGCGGAGGAAAAGAAACUAACAAGGAUUCCCUUAGUAACGGCGAGCGAACCGGGAAGAGCCCAGCUUGAAAAUCGGACGUCUUCGGCGUUCGA